RNAcentral lists this ribosomal RNA (468 nucleotides) under uncultured bacterium. Its description in RNAcentral is "partial 16S ribosomal RNA". It matches the Rfam family "Bacterial small subunit ribosomal RNA", at positions 28 to 507 of the family's 1533-position model. The record is from RNAcentral.
GACGAACGCUGGCGGCGUGCUUAACACAUGCAAGUCGAACGGAAAGGCCCUGCUUUUGUGGGGUGCUCGAGUGGCGAACGGGUGAGUAACACGUGAGUAACCUGCACUUGACUUUGGGAUAACUUCAGGAAACUGGGGCUAAUACCGGAUAGGAGCUCCUGCUGCAUGGUGGGGGUUGGAAAGUUUCGGCGGUUGGGGAUGGACUCGCGGCUUAUCAGCUUGUUGGUGGGGUAGUGGCUUACCAAGGCUUUGACGGGUAGCCGGCCUGAGCGGGUGACCGGCCACAUGGGGACUGAGAUACGGCCCAGACUCCUACGGGAGGCAGCAGUGGGGAAUAUUGCACAAUGGGCGGGAGCCUGAUGCAGCAACGCCGCGUGCGGGAUGACGGCCUUCGGGUUGUAAACCGCUUUCGCCUGUGACGAGGCGUGAGUGACGGUAAUGGGUAAAGAAGCACCGGCUAACUACGUG